CCUACGGGAGGCAGCAGUGGGGGAUAUUGCACAAUGGGGGAAACCCUGAUGCAGCGACGCCGCGUGGGUGAAGAAGCGCCUCGGCGCGUAAAGCCCUGUCAGCAGGGAAGAAAAUGACGGUACCUGAAGAAGAAGACCCGGCUAACUACGUGCCAGCAGCCGCGGGAAUACGUAGGGGGCAAGCGUUAUCCGGAUUUACUGGGGCUAAAGGGGUCGGAGACGGCGAUGCAAGCCUGGAGUGAAAGCCCGGGGGCCAACCCCGGGACUGCUCUUGGAACUGAGUAGCUAGAGUGCAGGAGGGGCAGGCGGAAUUCCUGGUGUAGCGGUGAAAUGCGUAGAUAUCAGGAGGAACACCGGUGGCGAAGGCGGCCUGCUGGACUGCAACUGACGUUGAGGCCCGAAAGCGUGGGGAGCAAACAGGAUUAGAUACCCCGGUAGUC
This 440-nucleotide ribosomal RNA is filed under the name uncultured bacterium. RNAcentral's name for it is "partial 16S ribosomal RNA". It matches the Rfam family "Bacterial small subunit ribosomal RNA", at positions 338 to 795 of the family's 1533-position model. The record is from RNAcentral.